Brachypodium distachyon (stiff brome) is the source of this 2258-nucleotide long non-coding RNA. RefSeq lists it as uncharacterized. The record is from RefSeq and is a predicted model, not a curated record. Lineage: Eukaryota; Viridiplantae; Streptophyta; Magnoliopsida; Poales; Poaceae. The transcript has 7 exons.
UGUACGAACAUGCAUUAUGCUUGUGUUCUUGAAUCACCAAACUAGUGCAUGCAAACCAAUCAUGUACUCCCUCCAUCCCAUAUUAAGUGACUCAAAUUUGCUCAAAUAUGGAUGUACCUAUAACCAAAAAGCGUCUAGAUACAUGUAAUAUUACGUCACUUAAUAUGGGACGGAGGGAGUAUUUUUUUAUCAGAAUUGAGUUAAUCGUUCUUAACCUUCUAUAGUUUCUGCAUGCACACCAUUUAAUUAUUACUCAUGAAAAAGGUGCAUGAGCGGUUGAGGCGUUGAGCACUAGAGUACUAUCCUGGUUUUGCCAGGCCUGUGAAUGGCUGUAGUUGGGCCAACAACCAGAUGUCCCGAAUUAUCUGACGUGGAUUUGUCAGUUAAUUUGGGUGGAGGGAGUACUCUAUUUUUUAAAUUUCUUUUUCGGUGAGGUGUGUGGGGUGAGGGGGUUCAAUUCGGUCAUCCAGCAGGAAACCUUGCCUAGUUUGGGAUUUUGUCUAGGAAAGAAUUCAGUCGAUCGCGUCCGCUGGUUUUUUAUAUGAAAGACACUGAUUUCGAUCCUAACCAACGAUCAGCCAAUGGAUUAGGGUUUAAUUUGUCGAGAAAACUAUUGAAUCGAUCAUGGAUUAGGAAAUGCUACGUGCACUUAGUGAACACAGUUUGCAGGAGCACACCAUUUCACCACCUGACCAGAUUCAAAUGGUCUUGCAGUUGCUCUACAUUAGAUGGAACUUUAGAAAUUGUAUUAAUCGUCGCUUGCUGCUGCAAUCUGUACACUGUUCUUGUGAUUUGAGCAGUUUCAUGAUGAGUAGGAUUGAUGGGUGUUUCUUUAUAUAUGAGAUUGAUUGAAUUUGAGUGACGGGCGCAAAUGGAAUGUUCAAAUGCAGAGGAGGUCUCUGAGGAUGGCUAUGGUCAGUUUCAAGAUGAGCUGCUUGGAAGGAAGAGGGAAGUGGUCGUGGCGCGCAAUAAACUGCAGACUAGUAAGAACGAGAUCCAGGACAAAAAAGUUUUAAGAGGAGAUUUCUGAGGAUAGCCAUUUCCAGAUUGAAGGUGGGUUGCAGGGAAGGAAGAGAAUAGUAACUGCGACACACAAACCGUGGACUACUGGAACUGAGACCCAAUCACCCAAGAUGAAAAUGUCAAGAGGAGAUUUCUUUGCAUACCUGUGUUGAGCUUCAUGGUGGGGUCGGGUCAAGGAAUGAAGAGGAAAGCAACCAUGGCAUCCAUCAAACAGCAGACAACUGGAACUGAGACCCAGAACAAAAAAGUUCAUGGUCAGUAUCUGAGAGCUGAGAAUGAGACGCUGAUGCUGCAGCUCGCUUGCAAGACAAAAGAGCUCGAGGCUUGAGGCAACCUCCAUACUCUCCUUUAAGUACGGAAGAGAAAGAUGGGUAAAUCAGUAAAAGAAAGUUGUCCUUCCUCCGCACGGUCUCCAAAUCACCUUUAUGUUUUCUUAGGAUUGCUCAGAGAAUUCCGUGGCAGAUUUUUUUUGAAUGCUGAUCACGAAAGCAUUACCAAGAAAGAGGCUUGAAACUGAAUGGAUGUUUCUACAGCCUUGAGGCAGGCCACCAUGUGCUCAUUACCUUCAAAGUGAGAUUUUUAUUUGAGAAAACAAAGUGAGAAAAUUUACUGUCUUCAUGUGUAUGAGAUCAACAAUCUGUCACUAGAAGAUAUUCCACAUGUUUGCAAUCUGAGGUGUGUCGUCUGAUAUACUCAAUAUGAAGAUAACGUCUGGCCUGCAUCGACGUCUGGUUAAAGCAGCACUCAACAUGUCCUCAGCCACGGCCUAUAUACUCAACAUGACCUUUAUACUGUCCUAGAAUCAAGAUCAGGCCCGUACCACGGCCUGUGUAUCGGUGCAGAGACAAAGCCAGCAAUGUGAAUCAGAUCAAAGAGUAUAACAACCAACGGCGAAAUUGAACGAGUCCUCAUGUGCGUCCCAUGAUGUAAACCUCGUUAGGUUGAUGCCGCAGCGAUUUAAGGUUUCAUAUAACUGCAUGCUGCCAGUUUGACAGUGUAGGUGUGUGCGUAUAUAGCUACCACGGUAGGUAGCCAGAUGUUGUUCAUAUACUAUGAAUGGCUUUGAGAUCCAUAAACUAUUUUCCCAAAGUUGUACCAAAGGGAAAAUCUAGAUAUUUCAGAGUGCUUUCUACCAAAGCUGAUUCUGUCUCCACUUCUCCAUCUGGAAUACAAAACUACAUAUAUGUGUGCUAAGCACCAAUUGAGUAUCGAGUUUUAUUUCCCUGUAUCAAACA